Panonychus citri (citrus red mite) is the source of this 809-nucleotide long non-coding RNA. RefSeq lists it as uncharacterized. Lineage: Eukaryota; Metazoa; Arthropoda; Arachnida; Trombidiformes; Tetranychidae. The record is from RefSeq and is a predicted model, not a curated record. The transcript is spliced from 2 exons.
CAAAGUACUAUUUGGAUAAGGUUUUAUAAUCGUAAUCAUCAUUAGCUGAUUGUUAAUCGAGAAUCAAAUUGUUUAAACCGAAAUAAUCUAAGUUUAAAUUAAACUUAAAGUUCGUAACUUUAUUCAGCCUCCGUGUUGAAAGUCAGGUCAUUUUAAUUGUUCGUAAAUCAACUGGAUUCUUAGUAACCGACUCACUUGAGAAGUUGAAAAAUUAACUAAUCAUCAUCAACAAUUUAAAUUUGAUUCUUAAUUUGCUCACUUGCUGAUUGUUUAUAUAAAAGGUUUUCAGUGAACUUGAAAAUUGUUUGAAAACAAAUUGAUUUGAUUGUGUUAACAUUGUGAUUAGUUUAUUGGUUUAACGUUUAUACUUUUGUUGGACUUUAAUUAAUCAAACUGAUUAACAAAUUUAAUCAUAAAAUCAUCAUGGGAGGCAAGCUUCUUUGUGUCUUUAUUUUAAUUCUGUUGGUUGUUAAUUGUGAAGCUUCAAUUGCUUAUUUUGAAUCAUAUGGUUGGCCUAGUUAUGGAAUCGUUAAACCUUUCUGGAUGAGGCCAUUUUCCGAUCAUCCCGCUAAGCCCAUUUCUGGAUAUUCAAGGAAACAUUUUGUCCGUUCUGCUGGAUUAAUUGUUGGACCUCGACUUUAUUGAUUGACCAUUGAACUCACUCAAUUUGUACGAUCUCAUCUCCAAGCUAAUCCACUACAAUCAUCAUCCAUCAAAAUUGUCACAAUUAGUAAAUUAUAACAAAGAUUAUCUAUUUAUUUCUAAUUUAUUUACAACGAAAGUUAAUAAAUGUCAUAAGAUAUUGUGAA